GAUGAACGCUGGCGGCGUGCCUAAUACAUGCAAGUAGAACGCUGAAGGAGGAGCUUGCUCUUCUGGAUGAGUUGCGAACGGGUGAGUAACGCGUAGGUAACCUGCCUGGUAGCGGGGGAUAACUAUUGGAAACGAUAGCUAAUACCGCAUGACAACAGUUAUUGCAUGAUAACUGUUUAAAAGGGGCAACUGCUCCACUACCAGAUGGACCUGCGUUGUAUUAGCUAGUUGGUGAGGUAACGGCUCACCAAGGCGACGAUACACAGCCGACCUGAGAGGGUGAUCGGCCACACUGGGACUGAGACACGGCCCAGACUCCUACGGGAGGCAGCAGUAGGGAAUCUUCGGCAAUGGACGGAAGUCUGACCGAGCAACGCCGCGUGAGUGAAGAAGGUUUUCGGAUCGUAAAGCUCUGUUGUAAGAGAAGAACGAGUGUGAGAGUGGAAAGUUCACACUGUGACGGUAUCUUACCAGAAAGGGACGGCUAACUACGUG
This 495-nucleotide ribosomal RNA is filed under the name uncultured bacterium. RNAcentral describes it as "partial 16S ribosomal RNA". It matches the Rfam family "Bacterial small subunit ribosomal RNA", at positions 28 to 507 of the family's 1533-position model. The record is from RNAcentral.